CUCCUGUGGGUGUUUCUCUGGCAGUGUCUUAGCUGGUUGUUGUGAGGAGUGAGAACGAAGCAAUCAGCAAGUAUACUGCCGCAGAAACUCUUCGC
This 95-nucleotide microRNA precursor is filed under the name Tetraodon nigroviridis (spotted green pufferfish). RNAcentral's name for it is "Danio rerio miR-34 stem-loop (ENSTNIG00000019973.1)". The stretch from base 12 to 88 matches the Rfam family "mir-34 microRNA precursor family". From Rfam's summary of the family: Human mir-34a was discovered computationally and later experimentally verified. The mature sequence is excised from the 5' arm of the hairpin. The record is from RNAcentral. Lineage: Eukaryota; Metazoa; Chordata; Actinopteri; Tetraodontiformes; Tetraodontidae.